ACAUAUCAAUAAGCGGAGGAAAAGAAACCAACAGGGAUUGCUCUAGUAACGGCGAGUGAAGCAGCAAUAGCUCAAAUUUGAAAUCUGGCGUCUUCGACGUCCGAGUUGUAAUUUGUAGAGGAUGCUUCUGAGUGGCCACCGACCUAAGUUCCUUGGAACAGGACGUCAUAGAGGGUGAGAAUCCCGUAUGCGGUCGGAAAGGCGCUCUAUACGUAGCUCCUUCGACGAGUCGAGUUGUUUGGGAAUGCAGCUCUAAAUGGGAGGUAAAUUUCUUCUAAAGCUAAAUAUUGGCCAGAGACCGAUAGCGCACAAGUAGAGUGAUCGAAAGAUGAAAAGCACUUUGGAAAGAGAGUUAAAAAGCACGUGAAAUUGUUAAAAGGGAAGGGAUUGCAACCAGACUUGCUCGCGGUGUUCCGCCGGUCUUCUGACCGGUCUACUCGCCGCGUUGCAGGCCAGCAUCGUCUGGUGCCGCUGGAUAAGACUUGAGGAAUGUAGCUCCCUCGGGAGUGUUAUAGCCUCUUGUGAUGCAGCGAGCGCCGGGCGAGGUCCGCGCUUCGGCUAGGAUGCUGGCGUAAUGGUCGUAAUCCGCCCGUCUUGAAACACGGACCAAGGAGUCUAACAUCUAUGCGAGUGUUCGGGUGUCAAACCCCUACGCGUAAUGAAAGUGAACGGAGGUGAGAACCGCAAGGUGCAUCAUCGACCGAUCCUGAUGUCUUCGGAUGGAUUUGAGUAAGAGCAUAGCUGUUGGGACCCGAAAGAUGGUGAACUAUGCCUGAAUAGGGUGAAGCCAGAGGAAACUCUGGUGGAGGCUCGCAGCGGUUCUGACGUGCAAAUCGAUCGUCAAAUUUGGGUAUAGGGGCGAAAGACUAAUCGAACCAUCUAGUAGCUGGUUCCUGCCGA
This 900-nucleotide ribosomal RNA is filed under the name Cladosporium sp. RNAcentral's name for it is "partial large subunit ribosomal RNA". It matches the Rfam family "Eukaryotic large subunit ribosomal RNA", at positions 38 to 964 of the family's 3401-position model. The record is from RNAcentral. Lineage: Eukaryota; Fungi; Ascomycota; Dothideomycetes; Cladosporiales; Cladosporiaceae.